GACGAACGCUGGCGGCGUGCUUAACACAUGCAAGUCGAGCGGUAAGGCCCUUUCGGGGGUACACGAGCGGCGAACGGGUGAGUAACACGUGGGUGACCUGCCCUCAGCUCUGGGAUAAGCCCGGGAAACUGGGUCUAAUACCGGAUAUGACUUCAUGACGCAUGUUGUGGAGUGGAAAGCCUUGUGCGGCUGAGGAUGGGCCCGNGGCCUAUCAGCUUGUUGGUGGGGUGAGGCCUACCAAGGCGACGACGGGUAGCCGGCCUGAGAGGGCGACCGGCCACACUGGGACUGAGAUACGGCCCAGACUCCUACGGGAGGCAGCAGUGGGGAAUCUUGCGCAAUGGGCGAAAGCCUGACGCAGCGACGCCGCGUGAGGGA
This 378-nucleotide ribosomal RNA is filed under the name uncultured bacterium. Its description in RNAcentral is "bacterial SSU rRNA". It matches the Rfam family "Bacterial small subunit ribosomal RNA", at positions 28 to 408 of the family's 1533-position model. The record is from RNAcentral.